This 253-nucleotide ribosomal RNA is filed under the name uncultured bacterium. RNAcentral's name for it is "partial 16S ribosomal RNA". It matches the Rfam family "Bacterial small subunit ribosomal RNA", at positions 524 to 776 of the family's 1533-position model. The record is from RNAcentral.
UACGUAGGGUGCGAGCGUUGUCCGGAAUUAUUGGGCGUAAAGAGCUCGUAGGCGGCUUGUCGCGUCGGAUGUGAAAGCCCGGGGCUUAACUCCGGGUCUGCAUUCGAUACGGGCAGGCUAGAGUUCGGUAGGGGAGAUCGGAAUUCCUGGUGUAGCGGUGAAAUGCGCAGAUAUCAGGAGGAACACCGGUGGCGAAGGCGGUCCCCUGGGCCGGAACUGACGCUGAGGCGCGAAAGCGUGGGUAGCAAACGGG